Long non-coding RNA from Solanum tuberosum (potato), 254 nucleotides. RefSeq lists it as uncharacterized. NCBI's taxonomy places the organism in Eukaryota, Viridiplantae, Streptophyta, Magnoliopsida, Solanales, Solanaceae. The transcript has 4 exons. The record is from RefSeq and is a predicted model, not a curated record.
UUGGAUUUGGCAUAGCUCAGAGACUUGGAUUUGAAGGUGCUUCUGUUGUUAUCUCCUCUCGCAAACAGGAAAAUGUAGAUGAAGCAGUAAAGAAACUGAGAGAUGGAGGAAUUGAAGUAUGUCAUGUCUCAAAUGCACAACAGAGGAAGAAUUUGAUAGACAAGACCAUUCAGGUUUGUGGCAGUUACCUGAAGCAUUUGGCCCCCGUUUGCAGGUCCGAUCGAAGUUUAGAGAAUUUAGCAUCAAUUAACAUA